This is an RNA transcript of Glycine soja, 7513 nucleotides long. RefSeq lists it as uncharacterized. The transcript is spliced from 4 exons. Lineage: Eukaryota; Viridiplantae; Streptophyta; Magnoliopsida; Fabales; Fabaceae. The record is from RefSeq and is a predicted model, not a curated record.
AGUGAUUUAAGGAUUCAAAACAAAAUUUCAUCUGCUUUUUGGGUGUGGGUCGCAUCUCCCUAACGCCACUUCCUUUUAGGUGGGCAAUCCUUCCGAAGGAGAUUCCCUAGUGCUUAUUGGUUAAUUGAAUAGCUACAAGUGAAUUUUUUAGGGUUGACAAUCUCAACAUGUCAUUGACGCUUUGCUUGGUAAUAUUGGAGUGUCUCCUCGUUCUACCAUGGGUGUAGGUUGCAUCCCCCUGACACCAUUUUCCCCACUUGGUGGUUCGAGAGAGGUCUCCUGCUUCAUAGGGACUAGUUGAAUGGUUACAAGUAAAUCAAAUUGCUUGUAGUUCUAACUUGUACAAUAAUUUUUUUGGUGAGUCUCUGUUCGCUUCAACAUGCCAUUGCUUACACUGAGUAGACAAAAAAAGAAAGAAAAAAAACUCUAAUUUAUUUAUCUAUUCAAUUUGGUGUUCUGGUGUUCCCUGUUUCUCGUCUUAGGUUGUUGGCUUGCAUGAGAUCUUUGUUUAGGUGCGGCACAGUGCACCUUCACGCAUGCACCAUCACCAUGUCCACUUCAAUCCUCACUCCUCUUCCUCUCAAGCCCAUCUCUGUCAACACCCUCAAUAAAGGAACACUCAAACCCGCUUUUCAAUCCUUGACCCUCCUUUCUACUCACCCACUCGCAACCCCCUCACGUCUCGAACACGCGCAUUCUCUCCUCCUCGACCUCUGCGUCGCCGCCAAAGCCCUCCCACAAGGCCAACAGUUGCAUGCCCUUUUGCUAAAAUCUCACCUUUCGGCGUUUCUGGCCACCAAGCUCGUGCUCAUGUACGGAAAGUGUGGCUCUUUGCGCGAUGCAGUGAAGGUGUUCGAUGAAAUGAGUGAAAGAACUAUUUUCAGCUGGAAUGCCCUGAUGGGUGCGUUUGUGUCAAGUGGCAAAUACCUCGAAGCUAUUGAGCUGUAUAAAGAUAUGAGAGUUCUUGGGGUGGCGAUAGAUGCUUGUACUUUUCCCUCUGUGCUUAAAGCGUGUGGUGCUCUUGGUGAAAGCCGCUUGGGGGCUGAAAUCCAUGGUGUGGCGGUUAAGUGUGGAUAUGGUGAGUUUGUGUUUGUGUGCAAUGCACUUAUUGCUAUGUAUGGGAAGUGUGGUGAUCUUGGUGGGGCUAGGGUGUUGUUUGAUGGGAUUAUGAUGGAGAAAGAGGACACUGUGUCUUGGAAUUCUAUUAUUUCGGCACAUGUAGCGGAAGGGAAUUGUUUGGAGGCAUUGUCGCUUUUUAGAAGGAUGCAGGAGGUUGGUGUUGCUAGUAAUACGUAUACUUUUGUUGCAGCUCUUCAGGGUGUUGAGGAUCCCUCGUUUGUUAAACUGGGUAUGGGGAUACAUGGUGCAGUAUUGAAAUCUAACCAUUUUGCUGAUGUCUAUGUUGCCAAUGCUUUGAUUGCUAUGUAUGCAAAAUGUGGUCGAAUGGAGGACGCUGGAAGAGUUUUUGAAAGUAUGCUUUGCAGGGAUUAUGUGUCGUGGAAUACAUUGCUUUCUGGUUUGGUUCAAAAUGAGCUGUAUAGUGAUGCUCUAAAUUACUUCCGGGAUAUGCAGAAUUCUGGUCAAAAGCCUGACCAGGUGUCAGUGUUAAACUUGAUUGCGGCAUCUGGCCGAUCGGGAAAUUUAUUGAAAGGGAAGGAAGUUCAUGCCUAUGCAAUAAGAAAUGGAUUGGAUUCUAAUAUGCAGAUUGGGAACACGUUGGUAGAUAUGUAUGCCAAGUGUUGUUGUGUGAAAUAUAUGGGCCAUGCUUUUGAAUGUAUGCAUGAAAAAGACUUGAUUUCUUGGACUACUAUCAUUGCUGGCUAUGCUCAGAAUGAAUUCCAUCUGGAAGCAAUAAAUUUGUUCCGGAAGGUUCAGGUGAAAGGGAUGGAUGUUGAUCCCAUGAUGAUUGGAAGCGUUUUGCGGGCUUGCAGUGGGUUAAAAUCUAGAAACUUCAUCAGAGAAAUCCAUGGUUAUGUUUUUAAAAGAGAUUUAGCUGAUAUAAUGCUACAAAAUGCCAUUGUCAAUGUAUAUGGAGAGGUUGGGCACAUAGAUUACGCAAGGCGUGCAUUUGAAUCAAUUAGAUCGAAAGAUAUUGUGUCUUGGACAAGUAUGAUUACCUGUUGUGUUCAUAAUGGACUUCCAGUUGAAGCUCUUGAACUUUUCUACUCUUUAAAACAAACUAAUAUUCAACCUGAUUCUAUAGCGAUCAUUAGUGCACUCUCUGCCACUGCUAAUUUAUCUUCAUUGAAGAAAGGGAAGGAGAUUCAUGGAUUUCUGAUUAGGAAGGGUUUCUUCUUGGAGGGACCAAUUGCUAGCUCUCUGGUGGACAUGUAUGCUUGCUGUGGAACUGUGGAGAACUCAAGAAAGAUGUUUCAUUCUGUAAAACAGAGAGAUCUAAUUUUAUGGACUUCUAUGAUUAAUGCUAACGGAAUGCAUGGAUGUGGAAAUAAGGCCAUUGCGUUAUUCAAGAAAAUGACUGAUCAAAAUGUUAUUCCUGAUCACAUUACCUUUUUGGCUUUAUUAUAUGCAUGCAGCCAUUCAGGGUUGAUGGUUGAAGGUAAGAGGUUUUUUGAAAUUAUGAAAUAUGGAUAUCAAUUGGAACCCUGGCCAGAGCACUAUGCCUGUAUGGUCGAUCUCCUCAGCCGUUCUAAUUCCCUGGAAGAGGCUUACCAUUUUGUGAGAAACAUGCCUAUCAAACCUUCUUCUGAAAUCUGGUGUGCUCUUCUUGGGGCAUGCCACAUUCAUUCUAAUAAAGAAUUGGGAGAGCUUGCAGCAAAGGAGCUCUUACAAUCGGAUACAGAGAAUUCAGGAAAGUAUGCACUGAUAUCAAACAUCUUUGCAGCAGAUGGAAGAUGGAAUGAUGUUGAAGAAGUGAGGUUGAGAAUGAAGGGAAAUGGGUUGAAGAAAAACCCAGGAUGCAGUUGGAUUGAGGUUGACAACAAGAUUCACACCUUCAUGGCAAGGGACAAGUCUCAUCCACAGACUGAUGACAUUUAUCUAAAAUUAGCUCAAUUUACAAAACUUUUGGAAAAAAAAGGGGGCUAUAUAGCUCAAACUAAGUUUGUAUUCCACAAUGUUAGCGAAGAAGAGAAAACACAGAUGUUAUAUGGACAUAGUGAAAGGUUGGCACUUGGUUAUGGUCUGCUUGUUACACCAAAAGGUACUUGUAUUCGAAUCACAAAGAACCUUCGUAUUUGUGACGAUUGUCAUACAUUCUUUAAGAUAGCAUCAGAAGUCUCCCAACGGCCCCUUGUUGUAAGGGAUGCCAAUAGGUUCCAUCAUUUUGAAAGAGGACUCUGUUCAUGUGGAGAUUUCUGCCAUGGUGGUCGUGGCGGUGAAACAUUCAGAGAUUGGCAAAUGGAACUCUCAGAAGAAUGGAAGCCAUUCUUCCCAACUGGCGCAUCCACCGUAUCUCCUAUUCUUCAAUCCCAUUCCCGUAAUUCUCUCCCUCUCGGUCCCCUCGUCUUCAACCCUAACCCUAACCCCAACCCUAAUUCCCUCUCCCUUCUCUUCUCUUCCCCCUCCCUCUUGCCCUCUCUCCAUCUCCCUCCCCAUCUCUUACCCUCCCGCUUCCUCCUCACUUCCCACCCUCAUUCCAUUCCCCCCUCCACCGCUUCCUCUGUCGCCUCCCUCUUCUCUUCCCCCAAUCAAAACGACGCCGCUUCCCUCCUCCUCUGCAACCGCCUCCACCUCCUGCAUUACCCUAACAGUCCAAACGCCAUCGUUUUCUUCCCCACCGGCGCCAACGACGACAAACUCGGCUUCUUCAUUCUCCGCGUCAAGGAUUCGCGCCUCGACAUUCAGCUCGAAGCCAACGGCGACGUUUUUUGUGUUUACACCGGCUCCGCGCAUCGUAUCUUGAACAUUUCGGUGAAUCCCGUCGCCGAAUUCGAUCGCUUAGAUGAUUCUAAUGUUAUCGGGUAUUUGUUGGCUUCCACUCUCUAUUCCGUUCAUUGGUUUGCAGUGAAGCACAAUUCCAUUUUGGAUCGACCUAGCGUGUUUUAUUUGGGUGGUAAAACGUUUAAGACUUGCCCUGUGGCUCAUGCUUGUUGGAGUCCUCAUGUAAUGGAAGAGAGUCUCGUUUUGUUGGAAAAUGGACAGUUAUUCUUGUUUGAUUUGGAGUCUCAUGACACCACAGGUACUGCUUUCAAGGGAACUAGGUUGAAAGUACCUUGGAAUGGUUUGGGUUUUUCGGGAAACAACAUGGUGUGGUUGAGUUGUGAGUUUAGUUGGCACCCCAGGGUUUUCGUCGUUGCGCAUUCCAACGCUGUUUUCUUGGUUGAUUUGAGGCUGAAGGAGUGUAGUGUGAGUUGCUUGAUGAAGAUUGAAAUGCUGCGGAUGUAUGCUCCGGGUGCAAAUGAGCGAUUUCUUGCACUGUCAAGGGCUGGUCCUGACGACCUUUACUUCGCUGUGGCUUCUACCAGUUUGUUGCUUCUCUGUGAUGUGAGGAAGCCUUUGGUGCCGGUGUUACAGUGGAUGCAUGGUAUUGAAGGACCUUGUUUUGUGUCUGUAUUGAGCUUGUCUGAUUUGAGGUCCCACUCGAGGGAUGAUGCUUUUAAGUUGGCUUCUGAAUCUGGGUUUUGUAUUAUGUUGGGAUCAUUUUGGAAUUGUGAGUUCAAUAUCUUCUGCUAUGGGUCUAUAUUGCCGUUUCGUAAAGGAUCCAUUACUUCGAAGGUUAACCCAAACGUCUGUGCUUGGGAGCUUCCAUUUGAAAUCAAUUUAUCUGGUCAUGAGUGUCAUUGUGGGAGUUGUCUCUUAAGGAAAGAAUUCUCAAAGGAUGCUCUUCCUGAGUGGGUUGAUUGGCAGCUAAAGAAAGAGAUAGUUUUGGGAUUUGGGGUUUUAAGCAAUGACCUUGCUGCGUUACUGUGUGAACCAGAUGAAAAUGGGGGUUUUACACUUAUAAGGCUAAUGUCAUCAGGAAGGUUUGAAUUGCAGAGAUAUCAUGCCUGUUGGACGAAGGCUAGAAACAUGAAAGAUUGCCAUGAUCAAGUGUUUUGUUUGGACAGACACUUACUGUACCCUGAGAGUGAUGAGAAAUACAAAUUUCCGAAAUAUUUUCACUACUUAAAAUUGAAUUACCUUUAUGCAUAUGCAAGGGGUGAUCUUUCCCGAUUUCUGGUUAAAAAACUAGAGAAGAACUGUAUGAAUGCUCAGGACCAGGAGCCCUUUUGUGAUGAAGUGCAUGAGUUAUUGUGUGAGAAAUUAAAUGCUUGUGGGUUUAGCCAAUCAAAAUCAUGUCCAGCAGUUACUUCUGUUUUUAAUGAUGUCAAGCUACCAGCAAGCUUACAUGAGGUUGCUUUGAGAAGAUUGUGGGCUGACUUACCUAUGGAACUAUUACAGUUGGCAUUUUUGAGUUAUGUUGAAUGUCAUAAAGUUGUUGGAGACCUGCACCAAAAUAAGGUAGCUUUGGAAUUCUUAGCUGUUCCAGACCUUCCUCAAUUGCCUCCAUUCUUUUUAAGGAAAUCAUCACCCCACAGCAAUGAUGACAUUGUGGGUCCAGUUAUUCCUUUUCCUGUUCUACUUGUGCUUAAUGAAUUUCGCAAUGGGUACUCAAAUUUGGAAGGAGAUGAAUUUUCAGUAGAAGCAGAGCUUGGCCUCAAAUACAAAGAAGUCAUGCAGGUGGCUGGUGAGAUCGCUGAUUCAGCUUAUGGCCCUGCACACCUUGAUGAUCAUGUAGUCUCCCUUGCCGAGGAUGGAGAGGAAACCUGGGUUGGUUCUUCGAAACCAAAAUCUUUUUUGUUAUACCAUCCAGUUGCAUUCAACUCAUCUGCCACCGACCUUGCACAGGAAAAGUUUGUUUAUAGCAAUACAAUUUAUGAUACAUUCAUUUCUCAUGUUCCAGAGAAGAAGUCCAAUGAGAAGACUGAGUCUGUUGGACAAGAGAUAUUUGAUGAUCUUUGCCCUGUUGAGUUGAGGUUUGAUGCUUCUGUGAAGAAGCUUGAACCUCAAGGUUUAAAGGCAUGCAAUCUAUUGAAGAGACAGAUGUCUAAAUGGCAAAAUAGUUUUGAUUCGUAUAAGGAAUUCUGUAUUCAAUCUAGAUUUGAAAAAAGUAGUUAACUGCUGAUCUCUCCUUUAUUGAAGAAAUUAGUUAUGGAAUCUGGUUUUGGGAAGCUCCCUAUUUUUGAAGUUGAAGCUACAAUUGAUAUUGCCUUGGACUGCAUGGCAUCUUUAUUGAAGAAAGUUGAGGCUAAUCAAGCUUCAUUCUGCUCAGCUAGUUGGGUGACUAUGAUAUUCCCUUUUCUGGUGUCUGAUGUACAUCAUUAAGUGUUCCUCAGGAUCUUGUCAUGUCUUAUAAUUGAAGAUACCUCACAGGCUCAUCCUGAAGAAUUAGGCAUGUUGGUUGAAGUUUUGAAAAGUGGAAUGGUUACCAGUGCUUCAGGAUCCCAAUAUCGACUUUCCCUUGAUGCAAAAUGUGAUUAUGGGAAUAUUGGUGGAUCCUGGGAGUUAAUAAUUCUGCUCAGAAGGUUUUAUGUGAAGCCACCAGUUUUUCUCUUUUGCUUACAACACUUCAUGGGUUCCAAAGUGAUGGUGGGGACUUGGACCAAUCUUCAUUCAAUGUUUACAUUAAGGUGUUUACGUACCUGAUGCAUGUUGUAACUGCUGGAGUAUCUGACAAUGCUAUUAAUACAAUGAAGUUGCAUGCAAUAUAUCUGACAUAGAAAACUUUAAGUUGUGUCAGCAAUUACGAAUUGUUCCACUUUUAAUCCUAUAUAUGGCUGGUUUUUCUUCACAUUUGCUAGAGAUAAUCUUGAAAAAUUCUCUAGUAUGCCGUGACUGUUGUAAAUUGUGUUUCUGAGCAAGAGCUACUUUAACUUUUAUGUGCUUCCAAGUGCCCCUUUGUUGCUAAUCUUUUCCAUCCUUUACCAGGGGAGACAUGAAAGCAGUCAAAAUUCUCUUCCAUUGGUUCACAGUUUUAGCAACACCUGCUAUCUGUCAUGGAGAGACACUGAACAUAAGAUCUGUGAAACCAAAUACAGUUUUACAGCCAGGAAUCUUUAAGAACUUCAAUGUCCUAAACCAACUAAGAUGUAAGUUUAAUUUUUCAUAUUGUGUCUGAAUUCUGAAAUGUAUCCAGUGAAUUUGAGAAAGUCUCCCUACAACAGUCACAUCACAAUCCUUUCAGGGAGUACUUGAGGCACUAAGGCUUAGUUGUGCUGGAUAUCCAACAAAAAAAAAAAAAAAUUUUAGAGUUUCUUGAUCGCUUUGGAGUGCUAGUUCCCGAUGUCCUUGAUUGGUAUUAGAUUAUUUGUUUUCUAAGCUAACGUUUAAAAUGCUUGGUGGGUAUAAGAUUAUUUGUUAGAGCAAAAUGAAAAGGAUGUAUUCCGACUUUGGCAUGAUGGGAGAGAUCAAAUCUUAUACCCGAGAGAGUGUUUGGACUUUUCUAUGUUGUUUAUAAAAAGGAUGCCAAAACAAAGGGUCUGUCUUUUUUUUUUCCUUUUCGAAAAGAGUCUUGAUUUGUACUUGUAUUGGAUAAUUUUAAGUUUAUAACAAUUACUAAGAAAUCACAAUCUGA